GGAGAGGUGGCCGAGCUGGCUGAAGGCGGCACCCUGCUAAGGUGUUGUAGGGGCAACUCUACCGAGGGUUCGAAUCCCUCCCUCUCCGCCA
RNAcentral lists this transfer RNA (91 nucleotides) under Candidatus Glassiibacteriota bacterium. Its description in RNAcentral is "Candidatus Glassbacteria bacterium tRNA-Ser". It matches the Rfam family "tRNA". From Rfam's summary of the family: Transfer RNA (tRNA) molecules are approximately 80 nucleotides in length. The record is from RNAcentral. RNAcentral also lists the same sequence under 1 other name. Lineage: Bacteria; Candidatus Glassiibacteriota.